UAUGGAGAGUUUGAUCCUGGCUCAGAGUGAACGCUGGCGGCGUGCCUAAUACAUGCAAGUCGAACGAUGAAGCUUCUAGCUUGCUAGAGUGCUGAUUAGUGGCGCACGGGUGAGUAACGCAUAGGUUAUGUGCCUUUUAGUUUGGGAUAGCCAUUGGAAACGAUGAUUAAUACCAGAUACUCCCUACGGGGGAAAGAUUUAUCGCUAAGAGAUCAGCCUAUGUCCUAUCAGCUUGUUGGUAAGGUAAUGGCUUACCAAGGCUAUGACGGGUAUCCGGCCUGAGAGGGUGAACGGACACACUGGAACUGAGACACGGUCCAGACUCCUACGGGAGGCAGCAGUAGGGAAUAUUGCUCAAUGGGGGAAACCCUGAAGCAGCAACGCCGCGUGGAGGAUGAAGGUUUUAGGAUUGUAAACUCCUUUUGUUAGAGAAGAUAAUGACGGUAUCUAACGAAUAAGCACCGGCUAACUCCGUGCCAGCAGCCGCGGUAAUACGGAGGGUGCAAGCGUUACUCGGAAUCACUGGGCGUAAAGAGCGCGUAGGCGGGAUAGUCAGUCAGGUGUGAAAUCCUAUGGCUUAACCAUAGAACUGCAUUUGAAACUACUAUUCUAGAGUGUGGGAGAGGUAGGUGGAAUUCUUGGUGUAGGGGUAAAAUCCGUAGAGAUCAAGAGGAAUACUCAUUGCGAAGGCGACCUGCUGGAACAUUACUGACGCUGAUUGCGCGAAAGCGUGGGGAGCAAACAGGAUUAGAUACCCUGGUAGUCCACGCCCUAAACGAUGGAUGCUAGUUGUUGGAGGGCUUAGUCUCUCCAGUAAUGCAGCUAACGCAUUAAGCAUCCCGCCUGGGGAGUACGGUCGCAAGAUUAAAACUCAAAGGAAUAGACGGGGACCCGCACAAGCGGUGGAGCAUGUGGUUUAAUUCGAAGAUACACGAAGAACCUUACCUAGGCUUGACAUUGAGAGAAUCCGCUAGAAAUAGUGGAGUGUCUGGCUUGCCAGACCUUGAAAACAGGUGCUGCACGGCUGUCGUCAGCUCGUGUCGUGAGAUGUUGGGUUAAGUCCCGCAACGAGCGCAACCCCCUUUCUUAGUUGCUAACAGGUCAUGCUGAGAACUCUAAGGAUACUGCCUCCGUAAGGAGGAGGAAGGUGGGGACGACGUCAAGUCAUCAUGGCCCUUACGCCUAGGGCUACACACGUGCUACAAUGGGGUGCACAAAGAGAAGCAAUACUGCGAAGUGGAGCCAAUCUUCAAAACACCUCUCAGUUCGGAUUGUAGGCUGCAACUCGCCUGCAUGAAGCUGGAAUCGCUAGUAAUCGCAAAUCAGCCAUGUUGCGGUGAAUACGUUCCCGGGUCUUGUACUCACCGCCCGUCACACCAUGGGAGUUGUGUUUGCCUUAAGUCAGGAUGCUAAAUUGGCUACUGCCCACGGCACACACAGCGACUGGGGUGAAGUCGUAACAAGGUAACCGUAGGUGAACCUGCGGUUGGAUCACCUCCUU
RNAcentral lists this ribosomal RNA (1501 nucleotides) under Helicobacter pylori. RNAcentral's name for it is "bacterial SSU rRNA". It matches the Rfam family "Bacterial small subunit ribosomal RNA". Lineage: Bacteria; Pseudomonadati; Campylobacterota; Epsilonproteobacteria; Campylobacterales; Helicobacteraceae. The record is from RNAcentral.